GUACAGAGAAGCGGGCAGACGUCUGCCAUCUGCCUGAACCAAGACGCCAGCUUUGAGACAUUUAACCAGCAAAAGGUCGCCAUACGAGAGCCACCACCGGUCAUUCUUCAGCCAUAUGAGGAGCCUGACGUCUGUAACGCUAACACACCACCAUUUGCUGAAAUCAAGAGUGGAAGAAAGAAAGAAUCAAGAAGGAAGAAGACGAAGAAGCACCACCGGAAGCUGAAUCUGUCACUUUGGCGACGUGAGGCACG
This is a long non-coding RNA of Branchiostoma belcheri (Belcher's lancelet), 254 nucleotides long. RefSeq lists it as uncharacterized. NCBI's taxonomy places the organism in Eukaryota, Metazoa, Chordata, Leptocardii, Amphioxiformes, Branchiostomatidae. The record is from RefSeq and is a predicted model, not a curated record. The transcript has 3 exons.